AACGCACAUUGCGCCCCUCGGUAUUCCGGGGGGCAUGCCUGUUCGAGCGUCAUUGCACCCCUCAAGCCUGGCUUGGUCUUGGGUCCUCGUCCCCGGGACGUGCCCGAAAACGAGUGGCGGUCCGACGUGACUUCAAGCGCAGUAAAUUUUUCUCCCGCUUUGGAAGCUCACGUGGCGGCUGGCCAUCAACCCAUCUUUAUUUUCAAUGAUUGACCUCGGAUCAGGUAGGGAUACCCGCUGAACUUAA
Molecule: unclassified non-coding RNA, 247 nt
Filed under: uncultured fungus
Lineage: Eukaryota; Fungi
Description: partial contains 5.8S ribosomal RNA, internal transcribed spacer 2, and large subunit ribosomal RNA
Rfam family: 5.8S ribosomal RNA (bases 1-52)
Source: RNAcentral